UGGGGAAUAUUGCACAAUGUGGGAAACCCUGAUGCAGCGACGCCGCGUGAACGAAGAAGGUAUUCGUAUCGUAAAGUUCUGUCCUAUGGGAAGAUAAUGACAGUACCAUAGAAGAAAGCUCCGGCUAAAUACGUGCCAGCAGCCGCGGUAAUACGUAUGGAGCGAGCGUUGUCCGGAAUUAUUGGGCGUAAAGGGUACGCAGGCGGUUUAAUAAGUCGAAUGUUAAAGAUCGGGGCUCAACCCCGCAAAGCAUUGGAAACUGAUAAACUUGAGUAGUGGAGAGGAAAGUGGAAUUCCUAGUGUAGUGGUGAAAUACGUAGAUAUUAGGAGGAAUACCAGUAGCGAAGGCGACUUUCUGGACACAAACUGACGCUGAGGUACGAAAGCGUGGGGAGCAAACAGG
This 403-nucleotide ribosomal RNA is filed under the name bacterium. Its description in RNAcentral is "partial 16S ribosomal RNA". It matches the Rfam family "Bacterial small subunit ribosomal RNA", at positions 355 to 776 of the family's 1533-position model. The record is from RNAcentral.